AGCAGCCGCGGUAAUUCCAGCUCCAAUAGCGUAUAUUAAAGUUGUUGCAGUUAAAAAGCUCGUAGUUGAAUUUCGGGACCAAUUUGUUGGUCGUGCCUCGGUACGUACUGGUAUUAUUGGUUUCUCCCUUCUGGCGAACCAUGAUGUCAUUUAUUUGGUGUCAUGGGAAAUCAGGACUGUUACUUUGAAAAAAUUAGAGUGUUUAAAGCAGGCUCACGCUUGAAUACAUUAGCAUGGAAUAAUGAAAUAGGACGUUUGAUUCUAUUUUGUUGGUUUCUAGGAUCGACGUAAUGAUUAAUAGGGAUAGUUGGGGGCAUUAGUAUUCAAUUGUCAGAGGUGAAAUUCUUGGAUUUAUUGAAGACUAACUACUGCGAAAGCAUUUGCCAAGGAUGUUUUCAUUAAUCAAGAACGAAAGUUAGGGGAUCGAAGACGAUCAGAUACCGUCGUAGUCUUAACCAUAAACUAUGCCGACUAGGGAUCGGAUGAUGUUAAUUUUUAAUGACUCAUUCGGCGCCUUAAC
Molecule: ribosomal RNA, 520 nt
Filed under: uncultured Glomus
Lineage: Eukaryota; Fungi; Glomeromycota; Glomeromycetes; Glomerales; Glomeraceae
Description: SSU rRNA
Rfam family: Eukaryotic small subunit ribosomal RNA
Source: RNAcentral